This is an RNA transcript of Panicum hallii, 2316 nucleotides long. RefSeq lists it as uncharacterized. The record is from RefSeq and is a predicted model, not a curated record. The transcript has 2 exons. Lineage: Eukaryota; Viridiplantae; Streptophyta; Magnoliopsida; Poales; Poaceae.
AUAACCUCGGAAAAGAAAAGAGGAAAAGAAGCAUCGAAAUAUUUGGCGAGAAAAAUGGCGACGGAGAAGCGCCACCGCCGGCAGUCGCCGCCGGCCGCCACGUCCGGUGCCUCUCCCACGUCCUCGUCGAAUCCGGAAUCCGCCGUAUUGCGCUCGCCUUCCCCUCCGCCGGACGUCCUCCCAGACAUCGCCUCCCGCCUGACCUCCCUCGAGGACUUCUUCGCCCUGCGCGCCUCCUGCCGCGCCUACCGCGCCCUCCUCCCGCCGUCCCGUGGGGUCCUUGCCUCCCAGUCCCCGCUCCUCCUAGUUGCGCUCUUCCCCUCCUUCUCCGAGGCGCUCUUUCACCUCUCGCUCCGCCGUCUCCACCGCUUCCGCCUACCUUGGGGCCACCACCUGCCCCCCUCCCGCCACACCCUCCUCUACGCGCACGGCUGCCUCGUCACGGCCACCACCGCGUCCUCCCACUACCCUCCGAGGCUCCUGCUCCUCCACCUCUUCUCCGGGGUGCAGAUCCGCCUCCCUAAGGUCCCGGCGCCGUUCACCCGCAUCAUCCUCUCCGAGGACCUCGCCGUGGUCCUCUUUCUGCCAGGCAGGCCCACCGUCCAGCACUGCCACCUGGGGGACGCACUCUGGCGGGUGGUCUGCGCCGAUGCGCCCGACGUGGUCGACGAUAUGCUCUUCGUCGGUGGCACCCUCUACGCCUUGGUAAAUGGCCUCCGACUUGCCAUAGUCGAGCUGUCUGAAAAUUCGCUGGAGCUGUCGUAUCUUGGAGGGGACUUGGAUGACGAGAGCAGGCCAGCGGGAGAGCUGUUCAGGCUUGGAGAGUGCGGGGGCGAUGUGUUGCUUAUCAGUGAGGAUCAUGAGAUGAUGGAUUACCGUGUUUUUCAGUGGGUGUCUGAGGAGGGAAAGUGGGCUUCAGUCACGAGCUUGGGUGGGAGGACACUGUUUCUUGGUUACCAUGGAUUUGCAUCCUGCCUUGGUCCUGAUUACCCAGGAAUUCGAGGGGAUUGCUUAUAUGCAGCUGGGUUACGCUUGGGUGAAUGGCACGAGUACUCAUUGACUGAUGGAAUUUGCGAUGUUCGAUAUGCUGAGUAUCCAGGUGCACCACCGCUGAAUAAUAGUUCACCAGCCAGGCCACCAGUUUGGGUCUUCCCCAGCUUGUGUUGAUGCUUUCUGCGAAUUCUUUACGAGCAUGUAAAACAUCUGAUGCCGACUUGGAAUAAAUCAUGGAAAGGGUGGUUCAGCAGAAGUUGGAAGUGUAACCAUAUCACUUCCAAGGUUCCACAAAAAUAAUUGUCUUACAAUGAAGGAACACAAUAUAGCUGAACCAAACCUGGGAAAAGCAGAAGAUUUUUAUCUUAGUACCUGAUAUUCAUUGCAUAAACCUAUUUGCUCAAUCAUCUAUAUGAGAAUACGGUUGCACAUAACGACCUUUUGUUUACCUUCAGGCUUUCCAUCUAUGAUUCUUAGACAGUCCUGACUAAACAAAUGUGACCGCCACACUGAACUUGACAGCAAUUUAUUACUAUUGGACUUGCACCUGUUUUUUUUCUCAUUUCAAAUAUGUUAGAAUGUCCAGUUUCCAGUUCAUGAAAAAGAUCCCUGGAGAGUCAAUUGGGAGCACUGUUUCAGAACAAAACGGUAAAGGAUUUAAUUAAAGACAUAGUUUAUCGAUAGAUAAAAGAUCAUAUGCCGUUAAAGAAACAUGGAAGCACUAUUUUAAUCAAGAAGGCCAGGGUAAAAGUUUACACAAUUUUCUCAUAGUGUGUGGUUAAAAAUCUUUUCCAUUUUUUUUCUGCAUAAGAAGAGAGGUGCUUGCAUAUUUUAUUCUAUAUAUUCCUCAUUUGUUGAAAUUUUAAGAAUCGGGAAAUUUGCAUGUUACAAAUUAUACUGAGAGAAGUCAGUAUUAGCUUACAGAAAAUCUGUCAUAUGUACUUUUAGAUUUUUGCAUUAGGCUAGUAGUCAGUCACUUCCUUGUUGAUUUAUAGGCGUGAAUAAUUCUGCAGCCCUAGAUUCUGCAGUUGCUGCAGUUAUUCAGACUUCCUGUCUUUUUGCUUGGAAUGUCUGGACCUGCGCAUAGGGGAGCAUGGUAUUAUCUGGCUUGUGUUGGACGUAGUACACAGAAACUUAAAUUCAGUGCACUUCAGCUCUAUUUCCCUUCCAUGUAAGGCAAGUUUUGAGAAUUUUCAUCUCUUGCCAUCCUUGAAUUGAUUUACGCAUUUGGAGUCUGCUGAAAAAUACGCAAAUCAGUGUAAUUUUGGUUGCAAAGCUGCUAAACCUGUACAAGUCAUGUGCAUCCCACAAGUUGAACCCUUG